GGUGAGUAAUGUCUGGGAAACUGCCUGAUGGAGGGGGAUAACUACUGGAAACGGUAGCUAAUACCGCAUAACGUCGCAAGACCAAAGAGGGGGACCUUCGGGCCUCUUGCCAUCGGAUGUGCCCAGAUGGGAUUAGCUAGUAGGUGGGGUAACGGCUCACCUAGGCGACGAUCCCUAGCUGGUCUGAGAGGAUGACCAGCCACACUGGAACUGAGACACGGUCCAGACUCCUACGGGAGGCAGCAGUGGGGAAUAUUGCACAAUGGGCGCAAGCCUGAUGCAGCCAUGCCGCGUGUAUGAAGAAGGCCUUCGGGUUGUAAAGUACUUUCAGCGGGGAGGAAGGGAGUAAAGUUAAUACCUUUGCUCAUUGACGUUACCCGCAGAAGAAGCACCGGCUAACUCCGUGCCAGCAGCCGCGGUAAUACGGAGGGUGCAAGCGUUAAUCGGAAUUACUG
Molecule: ribosomal RNA, 455 nt
Filed under: Escherichia coli
Lineage: Bacteria; Pseudomonadati; Pseudomonadota; Gammaproteobacteria; Enterobacterales; Enterobacteriaceae
Description: bacterial SSU rRNA
Rfam family: Bacterial small subunit ribosomal RNA
Source: RNAcentral